AAAAAUUUCACAUCACACCACAAGACUUUAGUCCAUAGAACUAAGAAAAAUACUCAUAAUUGUAACUCAAAAACCAAAGGAAAAAACAUACAAUUUUUUUAUUUAAGGAAGCAAGCAAAAACCAAAAAAUAGAGAAAAUCUGAAAACAAAAUAAAGAAAAAAUAACAAAUAAAUGGUUCCCUCCCCCACACUUAAAACAUGCAUUG
This 206-nucleotide long non-coding RNA is filed under the name Lathyrus oleraceus (garden pea). RNAcentral's name for it is "Pisum sativum (pea) long non-coding RNA (PSAT_LNC034900)". Lineage: Eukaryota; Viridiplantae; Streptophyta; Magnoliopsida; Fabales; Fabaceae. The record is from RNAcentral.